Molecule: ribosomal RNA, 206 nt
Filed under: uncultured bacterium
Lineage: Bacteria
Description: partial 16S ribosomal RNA
Rfam family: Bacterial small subunit ribosomal RNA
Source: RNAcentral
UACAGAGGGGGCAAGCGUUGUUCGGAAUUACUGGGCGUAAAGGGCGCGUAGGCGGCCUGUUAAGUCGAACGUGAAAUCCCCGGGCUCAACCCGGGAACUGCGUCCGAUACUGGCAGGCUUGAAUCCGGGAGAGGGAUGCGGAAUUCCAGGUGUAGCGGUGAAAUGCGUAGAUAUCUGGAGGAACACCGGUGGCGAAGGCGGCACUC